This 1039-nucleotide long non-coding RNA is filed under the name Homo sapiens (human). RNAcentral's name for it is "novel transcript, sense intronic to GOLIM4". Lineage: Eukaryota; Metazoa; Chordata; Mammalia; Primates; Hominidae. The record is from RNAcentral.
GGGACGCGCGCAGCCGGUGGCCAACUUUGCCCCGCGCCUCCACCCGGGCAGGAAAAGUGGCUUUGGUGAGCUAUUGGCACUGUGGUUGCCACCUCUGACCUUCAGGGACGUCAGAGGUGAGCGUUUCAGGACUGCCGGCACCAGAGUGUCAGGGGAGAUGACAUUCUCAUCCUCCCGCUUCUUCCUCCCAGCGGUUAGGUUUAGAACUUCGUAGCACCAGCCCAUCGUCCCGCUGGGCGUUUGGUGGGCGGGUGCACAGAUAGUCCUUUACCCGAGCUCUUGUCAAAGGCCCAGCUGCAAUCGGGGCAGGGAAACUGGUAGCCCUCCGCCGCUUCUGCCAGCCCUGCUCUGAGGAGCAUUGUUCCGUGGAUUCUAGGUAUUUGCUUUCUUGUUGACUUUGUCAGUUGCUUAAAAAAUGAAGAGUUUGGCAGAGAUUUCUCAAACUGUGCUGUUUUUCAAGGGAAAAUUAAGCCAUGACCCAGCAGCUUAAUUAAAGUCAUGGCCCAGUCGAAUGGAAGGAACCUAGAUCUGGACCUGCUAGUUUCUUAUUUCUUAUUCUUUUAAUUUAAUAGGAUGUCUUUAGAGAUGCUGGAUGUGUGGGAAAAGUCCACACUACAUACCAUUCACCAUCCUGCAGUAGUUUAUUUCUUUAAAAACAGGUUUACUUGUCUUCCUAAGUAGCUUUUACUUCAUCACAGAGAUGCAUGUAUGUUACAGUUAGCUUCGGGAAGCCAAAGAGGAGAAACACAGGUUUUCACUUUGCCAUGCACAGCAAACCCAACUUGAGCAAGACCUGUAGAAGAACUUAAAGUUUCUAUCCUAUUUUAGAAUCUAAUUUAAUGUAAUUUUCACAAACAUAAUUUACUUUAAAUGUAAAUUCAGAAUUUGAAUUUGAAUUUACUUUUAACGUAAAUUCAAAGUCAGCACCAUGUCCUCUUGUUAAGGACGUAUCCUAUACAUAUUUUUUUUGCAAGCUUUUACUUGUGGUUAGUUUUCAAUACUUAUGCAGCUUUCUCCCCAACCAAAAAAUAAUAAUAAA